CAUUACUGAGUUACCGCUCUACAACCCUUUGUGAACAUACCUAACCGUUGCUUCGGCGGGCAGGGGAAGCCUCUCGCGGGCCUCCCCUCCCGGCGCCGGCCCCACCACGGGGACGGGGCGCCCGCCGGAGGAAACCAAACUCUAUUUACACGACGUCUCUUCUGAGUGGCACAAGCAAAUAAUUAAAACUUUUAACAACGGAUCUCUUGGUUCUGGCAUCGAUGAAGAACGCAGCGAAAUGCGAUAAGUAAUGUGAAUUGCAGAAUUCAGUGAAUCAUCGAAUCUUUGAACGCACAUUGCGCUCGCCAGCAUUCUGGCGAGCAUGCCUGUUCGAGCGUCAUUUCAACCCUCAAGCACCGCUUGGUUUUGGGGCCCCACGGCAGACGUGGGCCCUUAAAGGUAGUGGCGGACCCUCCCGGAGCCUCCUUUGCGUAGUAACUAACGUCUCGCACUGGGAUCCGGAGGGACUCUUGCCGUAAAACCCCCAAAUUCUUUACAGGUUGACCUCGGAUCAGGUAGGAAUACCCGCUGAACUUAAGCAUAUCAAUAAGCGGAGGAA
RNAcentral lists this ribosomal RNA (559 nucleotides) under Colletotrichum acutatum. Its description in RNAcentral is "eukaryotic LSU rRNA". The stretch from base 187 to 340 matches the Rfam family "5.8S ribosomal RNA". The record is from RNAcentral. Lineage: Eukaryota; Fungi; Ascomycota; Sordariomycetes; Glomerellales; Glomerellaceae.